GACGAACGCUGGCGGCGUGCUUAACACAUGCAAGUCGAACGGAAAGGCCCUGCUUUUGUGGGGUGCUCGAGUGGCGAACGGGUGAGUAACACGUGAGUAACCUGCCCUUGACUUUGGGAUAACUUCAGGAAACUGGGGCUAAUACCGGAUAGGAGCUCCUGCUGCAUGGUGGGGGUUGGAAAGUUUCGGCGGUUGGGGAUGGACUCGCGGCUUAUCAGCUUGUUGGUGGGGUAGUGGCUUACCAAGGCUUUGACGGGUAGCCGGCCUGAGAGGGUGACCGGCCACAUUGGGACUGAGAUACGGCCCAGACUCCUACGGGAGGCAGCAGUGGGGAGUAUUGCACAGUGGGCGGAAGCCUGAUGCGGCAACGCCGCGUGCGGGAUGACGGCCUUCGGGUUGUAAACCGCUUUCGCCUGUGACGAAGCGUGAGUGACGGUAAUGGAUAAAGAAGCACCGGCUAACUACGUG
RNAcentral lists this ribosomal RNA (468 nucleotides) under uncultured bacterium. RNAcentral describes it as "partial 16S ribosomal RNA". It matches the Rfam family "Bacterial small subunit ribosomal RNA", at positions 28 to 507 of the family's 1533-position model. The record is from RNAcentral.